CAGUAGCCGCGGUAAUACGUAGGUGGCAAGCGUUGUCCGGAAUUAUUGGGCGUAAAGGGCUCGCAGGCGGUUUCUUAAGUCUGAUGUGAAAGCCCCCGGCUCAACCGGGGGGGGUCAUUGGAAACUGGGAAACUUGAGUGCAGAAGAGGAGAGUGGAAUUCCACGUGUAGCGGUGAAAUGCGUAGAGAUGUGGAGGAACACCAGUGGCGAAGGCGACUCUCUGGUCUGUAACUGACGCUGAGGGGCGAAAGCGUGGGGAGCGAACAGGAUUAGAUACCCCCGUAGUCCCUGUCUCUUAUAC
RNAcentral lists this ribosomal RNA (301 nucleotides) under uncultured bacterium. RNAcentral describes it as "partial 16S ribosomal RNA". It matches the Rfam family "Bacterial small subunit ribosomal RNA", at positions 509 to 807 of the family's 1533-position model. The record is from RNAcentral.